Molecule: ribosomal RNA, 443 nt
Filed under: uncultured bacterium
Lineage: Bacteria
Description: bacterial SSU rRNA
Rfam family: Bacterial small subunit ribosomal RNA
Source: RNAcentral
GAGCGGUAUUGUUUCUUCGGAAACGAGAGAGCGGCGCACGGGUGCGGAACACGUGUGCAACCUGCCUUUAUCUGGGGGAUAGCCUUUCGAAAGGAAGAUUAAUACCCCAUAAUAUUUUGAAUGGCAUCAUUUAAAAUUGAAAACUCCGGUGGAUAGAGAUGGGCACGCGCAAGAUUAGAUAGUUGGUAGGGUAACGGCCUACCAAGUCAGUGAUCUUUAGGGGGCCUGAGAGGGUGAUCCCCCACACUGGUACUGAGACACGGACCAGACUCCUACGGGAGGCAGCAGUGAGGAAUAUUGGACAAUGGGUGAGAGCCUGAUCCAGCCAUCCCGCGUGAAGGACGACGGCCCUAUGGGUUGUAAACUUCUUUUGUACAGGGAUAAACCUUUCCACGUGUGGAAAGCUGAAGGUACUGUACGAAUAAGCAUCGGCUAACUCCGUG